UACGUAGGUGGCAAGCGUUGUCCGGAUUUACUGGGCGUAAAGAGCGCGCAGGCGGUCGUUCAAGUCGCGUGUGAAAGCCCCCCGGCUCAACUGGGGAGGGUCACGCGAUACUGAUCGACUGGAAGGCAGGAGAGGGUAGUGGAAUUCCCGGUGUAGUGGUGAAAUGCGUAGAUAUCGGGAGGAACACCAGUGGCGAAGGCGACUACCUGGCCUGUUCUUGACGCUGAGGCGCGAAAGCUAGGGGAGCAAACGGGG
RNAcentral lists this ribosomal RNA (255 nucleotides) under uncultured bacterium. RNAcentral's name for it is "partial 16S ribosomal RNA". It matches the Rfam family "Bacterial small subunit ribosomal RNA", at positions 524 to 777 of the family's 1533-position model. The record is from RNAcentral.